CGCUGGGUGAGACAGAGCCCUGGACGGCAGCCGGACACAAGGCGGGAACGCCCCGUCCAUCCGUCAUCACUUCCCCUCCACACUUGCGACUUUCCUGCUUCCUGACCUCUGACAAGGAACUGAACUCCAGCCAGGGUGUUACCUGCGGCGUGGGAGCCUGCCCUCCUCCUGACCGGAGCCCCUGCCAGGCGCAGCCCUGCCACCCCUCCCCGGUUCUCACACGGAACCUCUCCUCACACAGGCGGAGGGAAACUCGCAGCCCUGUGGGCCACAGAGCUGGCGGGCGGGAUGGCCGAGACACCAGCUCCCCGCUCAUUCCACACCAUUCAGGGGCCUCCCUGCCCCUCCUGCCUCAGUUUCUCCACCUCCAUAGACGCCUCCACCAGGAAGCCCUCUGGGAAGAAGACGGCCUCUGCGUCCCAGCUCUGUCCAGUGGCCUCCAAGGUCCCCACCCAGCAUCAGCCCUGAGCAUGAGCAGGCAUCGUGUGGGGGGUAAGCCGUUGGCAAGGCCACUUGGCUCUACCUUCAAGACAUACCAGAGCCUAACGCGUCCCGCCGCCUGGUCCCCUCCCGCUGGGACCUGCGCCCACCUCCUCACCGGCCCCUCCUCUGCACACAACCUCUGGAAAACCUUAAUCAGGUCAUAUCCCCGUCUUGGCCAGGCCCCCCGGGCUGCCGUCUCACUCCAAUAAAACUCUUUAUAGUAACCCAUGGGCCGGCCUCCUCCCUCUUCCUCAAUCUGCACCAGCCUCGGUCUCUCACUGUUCCUCAGACUUGCCAG
This 781-nucleotide long non-coding RNA is filed under the name Equus caballus (horse). RNAcentral describes it as "lncRNA (ENSECAG00000043290.2)". Lineage: Eukaryota; Metazoa; Chordata; Mammalia; Perissodactyla; Equidae. The record is from RNAcentral.